Molecule: ribosomal RNA, 464 nt
Filed under: Trichonephila inaurata (golden orb-web spider)
Lineage: Eukaryota; Metazoa; Arthropoda; Arachnida; Araneae; Nephilidae
Description: partial 28S ribosomal RNA
Rfam family: Eukaryotic large subunit ribosomal RNA
Source: RNAcentral
CAAGGAUUUUUUUGGGGUGGGAGUCAAKGGGAAAAAWUCCCWACGGCGUAGCGAAAGCGAAGAUCGCGAUCCCUUCGGCUUUAUAGUCGACGGGCGCAGCGACCGCCUUUCCUAGACCAAGGAGGAAGGAGCGAGAGCACCUCGGUAAGGACCCGAUAGGUGGUGAACUAUUCUCGGGCAGGACGAAGGCCGAGGAAACUCGGCUGGAGGUCCGAAGCGGUUCUGACGUGCAAAUCGAUCGCCAGACCCGAGUAUAGGGGCGAAAGACCAAUCGAACCACCUGGUAGCUGGUUCCCUCCGAAAUUUCCCUCAGGAUAGCUGUCGCUCAUUKAUGGCCAGUCUCGUCCCGUAGAGAGAAUGAUUAGAGCGCUUCGGGGACGCCCGUGUCACUCGACCUCUUCUCAAACUACGAAGGGACGUGAAAUCGGUUCUCUCCCCGAUUCGGAGACCCCGAAGUGCGGAUG